RNAcentral lists this ribosomal RNA (472 nucleotides) under uncultured bacterium. RNAcentral describes it as "bacterial SSU rRNA". It matches the Rfam family "Bacterial small subunit ribosomal RNA", at positions 355 to 825 of the family's 1533-position model. The record is from RNAcentral.
UGGGGAAUAUUGGACAAUGGGGGCAACCCUGAUCCAGCAAUGCCGCGUGUGUGAAGAAGGCCUGCGGGUUGUAAAGCACUUUUGGCAGGGAUGAAAAGCACUGGAUUAAUAACCCAGUGUGUUGACCUAACCUGCAGAAGAAGCACCGGCUAACUCUGUGCCAGCAGCCGCGGUAAUACAGGGGGUGCGAGCGUUAAUCGGAAUUACUGGGCGUAAAGCGUGCGCAGGCGGCUCCUUAAGUCAGAUGUGAAAUCCCCGGGCUUAACCUGGGAACUGCGUUUGAAACUGAGGGGCUAGAGUGUGGAAGAGGGGGGCGGAAUUCCAGGUGUAGCAGUGAAAUGCGUAGAGAUCUGGAGGAACACCGAUGGCGAAGGCAGCCCCCUGGGCUAACACUGACGCUCAUGCACGAAAGCGUGGGGAGCAAACAGGAUUAGAUACCCAAGUAGUCCCUGAGCGGGCUGGCAAGGCGCAU